This 1955-nucleotide long non-coding RNA is filed under the name Homo sapiens (human). Its description in RNAcentral is "HSALNT0156887". The record is from RNAcentral. Lineage: Eukaryota; Metazoa; Chordata; Mammalia; Primates; Hominidae.
GUGCCUGGGAUCAGAAGCCAGGCUCUGAUUGAGGUCAGAGGUCACCCCGUGGCUGGGAUGGGAACUCAUUCUGUGCCUGGGUCAGGGCUCAGGCUAUGGCUGGGAGCAGAGUUUAGUUUGUAGCUGGGAUCAGGGGUCAGUCUAUGCUUUUGACCAGGGCUCAGCUUAGUCUGGGAUCAAGGGUCAAUUUGGGCUGGUGAUGGGGGCUCAGUCUGUGACCAGGGUGAGGGGUCGACCUAUAGGUGGCCUCAGGGGUUAGUCUGCGGCUGGGGUAAGGACUUGGUGUAUGGCUGGGAUGAGGGUUCAGUGUGUGACUGGGAUCAGAGGCCAGCCUGUAGCUGGGAUUAGGGAUGAGUCCAUAGCUGGAGUAGACACGCAGACUGUGUCUGUCAAGACUUAAUCUGUAGCUCGGAUCAGGGCUCAGACUGUAGCUGAGAUUAAGGAUCAGACCAGGGCAGGGGCUGGAGUUCAACCUGGUCUGGACAGUCUCUGCCCCUGCCCCGGCCGCCCAUUUUUCCCCAGCUGUCCUGGGUCAAGUUGCUGCAGCUGAACUUUGCUUCCUCUUUGGAUCAGAGCGUUCUUGGCCAGCACCCAGCAGCUGAUUCCCCAGGGGAGAGGCCCCGUUCCCGCCAGCCACAUUCCCACGCCGGCCUGGGAGGCUGCCAGAGAGUGGCUGGGUGUCGGGGGCUGCCUCCCAGGGGACCUGCCUCUCACCCUGCCCAGCUCUGAGGACAGCACGAGAUUCCUGCAGAUGGAGCUCCUAACCUGUCGCCCUGCAGGCACUGUGUGUUUGGACAGCUGGAAGCAGAGCUCGGCCUGUGACCUGCCUGGUCCAGCAACUGGACCUUCUGGAGAGUCACAGUGAGACACACAGCCACAUCCUGUAAAUGAAGACCUCGUGGCUCAGAGAGUAAGCCAGAGAAAAGAAAAUGCCAUUCGGAAAAUCCUAAGGAAGAGAGGAUGCAUUUCCUCGUCUCCACGUGGAAGCGGAUCACCCUAAAGGUCUUCAUCCUGGUCUUUUUCAUGCUGAGGAGGCUGGGGAGGAGAAGGAAGAGGAGGGGCUGGUCUUGCUGACCCAGGAGCAGCAGAGAAAGGAGAAAAUCCACGUGCAGGGGCUGGCCAGCGCUGGGCUUCUCGGGAAUGGAAUCACACACGGACUGUGGCGUACACAUCACAACUUUAAACCCCGUCCGUACUGAAGCCUGCGUCCGAAUUUCUUCUGUUUUUGUGGCGGAAGGAUAAAUAUUCCAUUGUACAGACGGUCUACCCGGUUCAUCCGUCACCCACCCAUGGGCACCCGGGCCGUUUCCACCCUUAGUGAAGGAAGCCGCACGGGUGUUUGUGCGGACAGGAGCUUCCGUUUAUCUUGGGCGCACACCUAGGGGUGGAGUUGCUGGGUCUCGUGGUGACUGGUUGUUUCGGGAGCUGCCGGCAGGUGACCCAGCAGCUGGGCCGGUCCACAUUCCGUCCAGCAGCGUGCGAGUCUCUGAUCUUGGCGCCCACACCCCUGGCUGGCUCUCUCCUCCCUCCGACUUCGCAGCCACACCGGAGGCAGGUGGCAAUGAACUCAAGGUGUGCGGUCCCUCCCUCGGCGCCCAAGCCCCACACUGGGCCUGCCCUGGGCAUGAGUUGGCCAUUGGACCUGAGGCUGGAGAACCUGCCUGGGACAGAACAAAAUUCAAGUGUGAAGUUCUGGAAGGUUCUGGAGGGUUCCAGAGGCCUCCUGGAGCUCCCUGGGUCCCCUGGACUCCACAUGAGUGGCCACCCAGCCUGUGGUCUACGGCUGCCUAGGUUCACCCCCUUGGUCCCCCAGACACACACAGGGCAGCCCUUGUGUUCCUGGGGCCGCUGGUCCUGCAGCGUGAGCUGCCACCUGUAGGGAUCCCUCCCUGCCUGCCCACACCUGCCCCCCACGGCCGCCCCCCCUGCCUGGCCGCACCUGCCCCCCACGGCCG